AGCCCCCCAUUCUCUAAAGCUCUCAGUCAGGGGUGUUCCUCGGUUUCGGAUGAAAUCGGGGCGGGUUGACAAUACUUCACACGCCUUGGGCGCGUUGUUGCAGUCUGUUAGAUUUGAAGAACUGCCGUGUUUCAUUCCUGAGGAAUUUUGUCUUUGCUCGGUGUAGUGCCUGUCCGUUGAGCCACACUUCUCAGUAAUAAUUCAAGCUCUGAAAAUUCCGAACUUGAUUCAGCAUUCGUCUCUUCCGUUUCCCCCCAAAUUUUAAACUUGCUGUGGUGGUCUACUUUCCUUGGUUGAUGCCUGAAUUGGGUCCUCGAUUGGGCUAUAAUAUAUACAUCUGGAACUGCAAUGAACGGCUGACUGGUUGGCCACGUUGAAAAGCGUAGUGCUAGUGUGCGGCAGAUCGGCUGGCCACGUGGCAGAAGCGGAGAUUUACGUUUGUGCCACUUAUCCCCAUGAGAAUCGUCUCUUAUCUCCUCUCGUUUCCCUCGCGACGAAACAUGCAUCGGCGUCUACGUGCGUGGGGUAUUAGAUAGUGUCUCGCUCGAGAUCACAUCCUCACGGCCGCAGCGUCAACAAUGUCACCGUCGUCGUCGCUCUACUCCGGCCGUCUCCUCUCCUCCCGCCCGGCGUCCAAGGGGCUCGUACGUCGUCUCCUCAAUCACGAUGGGAGCAGGUGGGUCAGGCCGUCGUGCUCCCUGUCUAUGAACGGCUGCGCGGCCGGCGUGGGCGCGGUGACCAUGCACGAGACGCGGGUCCUGCCGGCCGCGUCGGCGCCGCAGGAGGCCGUCGGGCAGCUCAGGGCCGCCGUCGCCGCGCUCAACGCCGACCCGCCGGUGUCCUCCUCCGGCAUCAUCCGCAUCGAGGUAGCAAAAGCACAUGGUCUUCAAUGGCGAACUGCGUUUGAUCGUAUUCGUAUCUGGAUAAAAUGGGACGCGCGCGCACGCAGGUGCCGAUUCGGCAGCGAGGGGACGCCAUCGAGUGGCUGCACGCGCAGAGGCAGAGCUCCCUGCCCCGCUGCUUCUUCUCCGCCCGGGCGCCGCUGCCGGACACUCCGGCCCUCGCCGUGGGCAUCAGCAGCAACGGCAACGGCAGCCACAAGGAGCAGUGGGAGCAGCCGGUAAGCGUCGCCGGCGUGGGGUCGGCGGUCUUCUUCCGCGGCACGGACCCCUUCUCCCUCCGCGACUGGCGAGCCAUCAAGAGGUACGCAAAAACUCACUACCUACUCGAUCAGCUACUAUGUUUUUUCUGAAUUGGAUGAACUAUGAUAAAGCUUGGCUUAGAGUGCGUUUACGACGCUGUUCCUCCUCUUCUUUGUCCGUGAAGAUUUCUUUCAAGGGACUGCCCGCUGAUCCGCGCCUACGGCGCCAUCCGUUUCGACGCGUCGAGCGACGCCUCGGUCGAAUGGGAAGACUACGGCGCAUUCUACUUCGUCGUUCCACAAGUAAGUCGAUCCGCAACUGGUGACAGUUUCAUUCUGCAUGAUGAAUGCAAUGUGCAUGUGUACUGCCUUAUUUCAAGUGUGUGUGAUGUAAAAAUGUACUGCAUUGCAGGUUGAGUUCAGCGAGCUCGAGGAGGGCUCGGUUCUCGCGACGACGAUUGCGUGGGACGACUCCCUUUCUUGGACAUGGCAGAGCGCUGUGGAGGAGCUUCAAUCGACAUUGCACGAGGCAUGGCAUUUUGUUUCCCUGCAUUCUCAUGUGGAAGAUAGUAAGUUAGCAACCGCUAAUUUGAACUUGUAUGCAGAUAUCACCCUGUUCAGUUAAGGUGAACAGGUCCACCCUGCAAACCGCCAUCGUAAAUCUCAAUCAUGUCCCCACCAAGGCGUCCUGGGAUCUUGCUGUUACUCAAGCUCUUCGGAUGAUCAAAGGGAGCCAGACGGAAUUAGUCAAGGUAAACCAUUCAUCGCGUCACUGUCUGCCAAAACAAAAACUAGACGAGUAAUUUUCUUUACCUGUCUUUUUGUGAGUAUAGAGAGGUUUAGUUCAACCAAUCUCUUCCAAUCCUGAUAUUUGUAUGAAUGCUAGAAUUUUUCAGUUAGUUACUAAAAAAACACUUAUUUUCCAUUUUUGUUUUCGACAUAUAUUGAACUUGCCAAUGAACUAUUUCUGCAGGUUGUGCUGGCAAGGUGCAGCAGGUACAUCACUGAUACUUGCAUCGACCCUCUGGAGCUGUUAGCUUGUCUGAAGGUAUGUCGUAUUAUUGUCCUCUCCCUUCAUGAUGUACUCAUAUCAUCUUGUUUACGAGAAGAUCAUUCUGCGACUCUUGUAUGUAUAGGUUGAGGGCCAGAAUGCCUACCAGUUCUGCAUACAGCCACCCGAUGCUCCUGCAUUUGUUGGAAAUAGUGUAUGUCUUCUGCGAUGCACUUUCUUUUCUUCCUGAUAUACCUGACCUUCAGAGUCCUGUUUAGAAACAGGUCUUACUUAUGCCUUGUGCAUUGUUUAUCUCUAUAUUUGCUCUAGCACUGUUAAAUAACUCUCUUCUAACUAUUGCUAAUUUCAUCCAAACAUUCUGAAUAGCCAGAGCAACUAUUUCACCGGAAAUACUUGAACAUUUCCAGCGAGGCUUUAGCCGGUACGCGAGCAAGAGGGAAAACAAGGGCUGAUGAUUUUCAAAUUGGCCAGGAAUUGCUUCUAAGGUUUGUUUCCCCUCUUUGUGCUUGUAAUCAUAAGAUUGACAUAUUUCUGAAAUUUUACGGAGAUAUCGGCACCUUGUACGAAGACCAGACUGGUCAGUAAUGUAAAUAAUUCUUGCAGCAUCAAAGAGGACACUGAAUUUACUAUAGUACGGGAAAGCAUAAAGAAGAAGCUUGAGGCAAGUUAAGUUUCAGAGUCCAAUUUCAGAUAUGAUCCUGGACUAGUUUGCGUUGCUCUUGGUACUCAGCAGUAAUGCUUUUCAGAAAACAAAAUAUGGUGACUGUAAUUUUUGCUGAACCAGUGGAUCUGAUCUAAUCUGCAGAUGAUCUGUGAUGAGGUUGUUGUCAAUCCCAGUAAGGCCCUUCGGAAACUUCCAAGAGUACAACAUUUGUCAGCUCAAUUAGCUGCAAGAUUAAGAAAUGAGGACGACGAGGUAAUCUGUGGUUUGAACAUUCUCUGUCACUUGGACAUGUAGGUAUCAUUUGAAUUUUCUUUUGCCCUGGAUUGUUGGAGACAUCGACUAGUGUUCAUAUAAUAGACUUGAUACUUCGUGCUGGUAUUUGCAGUUUGACAUCCUAAAUGCUCUUCAUCCAAGCCCAGCUGUUUGUGGUUUGCCCACUGAAGAAGCGCGCCAAUUCAUACGAGAUUAUGGUGUGUGCCUGUAUUCUGGCUGAAAUGUUAUCUAUGAACGCAUAUGCACUAUUGUGUUCUGUAUUUAGUACGCAACCUAUUGAUGGUGAUCUCUGAAUGCUAUUUUCUGAUGUUGCUGCAGAAAUUUUCGACCGUGGAAUGUACGCUGGACCUGUUGGUUGGUUUGGUGGAGCUGAAAGUGAGUUUGCUGUUGGAAUUAGAUCAGCACUACUUGGAAAAGUAAAUAAAACACAUGUCAUCAAUAUUUGUGUAAACCUUACCUUCUUAACCUAUCCUAAUUUAGAAGCAUAAGUCACCUAGCUGUCUUGUCCAGGGAUAUAGCACUUUAGUUUAUGCCGGUGCCGGGAUUGUCGAAGGUACAAAUCCAUCUUUUGAAUGGGAUGAGCUUGAUCUCAAAGCAUCUCAGGUAGUCUCUGUCCAAUGUCAUGACUGUUAUUACUGACUUCUAUUUGAAAUGCUAACACGUUAGAUCUUACGACUAUUUUCAGUUUGCAAAGUUGUUGCAGUAUCAAGAACAUCAUAUUUGCUACCAAGAGGCAGGAAACAUGGGGACAUUGAUUUGAACUGUAACUAGUAAGUCAUCAGAGAUUACAAUGCUUAGAAAGAGGUGGGAAAUUACGUUAUCUCAAUUAUAUAGAAUGUCUACAACUUCAGUUUGUAUCUGACAUUGGAAUGCCCGAUGUGUUUAUUUUGAACUCCUUCUACAGGGAAGUUUUGAUUUGGUGGGAAGAUUCCAAAUGGAGUUCAUAUCUGUUUGUGUGCGUGCGUUGUAAACUUCGAAAGAUUUCAGCCUGAUUUGCAUGGCUCUUGAAGAUGCAAUCACAGAAAUAUCGAAAUAUCGAUUCGAGGAGAUGACAGUGAUGAUAGUCGUGGAGCGUACAAAAGAUUAAAUAAAAGCAUAUUAAAUAAUUAUGUACAAUGAUUGUAACAAGUCAGUUUAGUGCAAAGUGUAUAUUACACGAUGAGUUUUUUUAUCCACGCACCCCAGGGAUGGGGAUGGGCAUCGGGAUGGUGUCACGGGUGUGUGGAUCAUAUUAUAGCAAAUCUCAACUGGGUAUUCCCCAUUGUCACUUUGAGUCUAGAUGGACCACAAUCUGAGUACUACUAUUAUUGACUCCCUCGCACGGUCUUCUUGUUCAUCAAAUGGAUGUUAAGAUAACUUUCCUAAAUGGAGAGUCAGAGAAGAAAAUUUACAUGGAACAAAAGAUGGAUUUGUAGUAUCGGGUCAGGAAAGGAAGAUCUGCAAUUUACUGAAAUCUUUGCAUGGCCUAAAACUAGCACAUAAGCAAUGACACCAGAAAUUUAUCAAAACUUUAAAUUUCAUAGACUUUGUUGUCAAUGAAGACAAAAAAUGUGUUUGCUACCGUUAUGGUGGAGGCAAGGGAGUGAUCAUUUGCUUGUACGUUGAUGCAUACUAAUCUUUAGCACCAGGGGAUCUGUGAAGUAGGACCUCGGAAAACAAACCUUUGCAGUUGGAGAGAACAUUUCCUAAAAUCACUCAUUUGAACAUGUAGUUCUCUCACGGAUAUAGUAAGGCGGACUUAUUAUUCUUAAUGUGCUCUAUUACUUGUGUACGCGAAGAUGUUGCCUUACAGGACUGUCUUUGAAAAAACAAACCUUUAUGAGCUAGUUGCCGGUCACACUCUAUGAUAUUAGGUAAUAUCUAGUAAGCUCAUGAAAGGCCAGGAGUACGACUUAUGUUGCUGGUCACACUCUAUUUCAAAUGGAGUACACGUUCACUCACUAACUCGACUUACCACGCCACACAUGGUGCGCACGUCGUGUUUCACGAGUCAAAUUCGAGUUUGAGCUAAGAGCAGUUUUAACAUGCUCCCUCUUACGUCAUCUUUUCACAUGAGAGGUAAGAGUACAUAUUAGAUCUGAGCCGUUGAUCUCAUUAAUUAGUGAUCCGAUUAACUCUUACCUUCUUACCGCACAUGUAAAAAGAAGGGGUAAGAGGGAGCAUGUUAAAUUUUGCCUUGAGCUAAUAUUAUGCACUAUGUUUGAAGAACUAAAAUUUUGCUUGGCAGUGCAUUGCUAAGGAAGCUUCGGGUGUACAUGUCAACACUCAGCUCGUUGUGGGCACAUUUUUUUGCUUUCAGAGAUUUCUUCCGCCAUGUGUUAGUUGCAUCUCCCCAGUCUUCCAUGCAUUGAAGGUCAGAACUACCAAAUCAUCAUAACGGUAAUCUAAUGCAAUAUGACCAAACAACAUAAACUGGUUGGUCUAUUCAACUUGAUAUUCCAACCAUUUUAGAUAUGGAAAGCUAUUUCCAAAUUCUUGAUAAGGAAAGGUAGUACGUAUGUGUACCUUGGCCAUUUGUCCUGUCUAAGAAAGCAUGUAGUUUCAAUGUUGUUCUGUAAUACAUCAUUCCAUGAACAAACAUUACAGUUGUAUUAGGGCAAACUCACUGCCGGUUGCUUGAAAACCCUUGUCAAGACCGAGUUCUAUCACCAUAGGCAACCUCGUAAGCUAGUGGCGGAGCUACAUGCAUUGUUGAGGGGGAGGGGGCCAAUGCCCCCCCACCCUAGGAUAUUUAGUGAAUAAAAAAGUAGAGGCUUAGAUUAAUAAGAUUGUAGUCAUCCUCCCCCCCCCCCCAAAGAUUUAUAUUUUCUCUUUUCCUCCCCCUUGUUUAUCUCCUAGCUUUGCCCCUGACGGAAGCAAUCCAAUUUGGACGAAUGACUGGGAUGCAAGGGAACUUUCUAACGACUUCAUAUUCUUAGCCUUUGCUUUCAGUAGGAUACCUUCAUGUAGCCCACCAAGGACCAAAUACAACUGCCCACAGAGGAAAAAUAUAAACACCUUUGAUAACUGCAUAAAAUAUGGACCCGUUAGAAUAAUAGGACUCGUCAUUGGUACUAAACAAAAAAUACUUCCACAAAAAAGAUUGGAUUUGACCAAGGUGAAGUUACAAUGCAAGCGUGCAAGAGAGAGAGAGAGAGGGAUGGAGAAAACAUAUUAGGCCAUUGAACUAGAGCUCCACUGCGAUGAAAUAACAGAAGAACAUCCGACGAUGAUCAGUCCUUGCCCUAGGCGGUAUAUUUCACGCCUGACUGUCUGUUCACCAUUGCCAUUUCCUUUGGCUUCAACUAUUGAUAUCCGAUUAAGACUAACAUCAUGCCCUUUGCCAAUCUUAUUAACCCUUGUCAAGACCGAGUUCUAUCACCAUAGGCAACCUCUAAGCCAGUGGCGGAGGUACAUGCAUUGUUGAGGGGGAGAGGGCCAAUGCCCCCCCCCCCCCAGGAUAUUUAGUGAAUAAAAAAGUAGAGGCUUAGAUUAAUAANNNNNNNNNNNNNNNNNNNNNNNNNNNNNNNNNNNNNNNNNNNNNNNNNNNNNNNNNNNNNNNNNNNNNNNNNNNNNNNNNNNNNNNNNNNNNUGCCUCCCCCCUUGUUUCUCUCCUAGCUUUGCCCCUGAUGGAAGCAAUCCAAUUUGGAUGAAAGAUUGGGAUGCAAGGGAACUUUCUAACGACAUCAUAUUCUUAGCCUUUGCUUUAAGUAGGAUACUUUCAUGUAGCCCACUAAGGACCAAAUACAACUGCCCACAGAGGAAAAUAUAAACACCUUCGAUAACUGCAUAAAAUAUGGACCCGUUAGAAUAAUAGGACUCGUCAUUGGUACUAAACAAAAAAAAACA
RNAcentral lists this long non-coding RNA (6918 nucleotides) under Triticum aestivum (bread wheat). Its description in RNAcentral is "long non-coding RNA (TAES_LNC007264)". Lineage: Eukaryota; Viridiplantae; Streptophyta; Magnoliopsida; Poales; Poaceae. The record is from RNAcentral.